UUAGGAAUUUUGGGCAAUGGGCGAAAGCCUGACCCAGCAACGCCGCGUGGGUGAAGAAGGCCCUCGGGUCGUAAAGCCCUUUUCCCAGGGAAGAUGAUGACGGUACCUGGGGGAUCAGCCCCGGCUAACUACGUGCCAGCAGCCGCGGUAAUACGUAGGGGGCAAGCGUUGUCCGGAUUUAUUGGGCGUAAAGCGCUCGCAGGUGGUUCAUUGCGUCGUGCGUGAAAGACCCCGGCUCAACUGGGGAGGGUCGUGCGAAACGGGUGAACUAGAGGCCAGUAGGGGGAUGCGGAAUUCCGGGUGUAGUGGUGGAAUGCGUAGAGAUCCGGAGGAACACCAGCGGCGAAGGCGGCAUCCUGGACUGGUCCUGACACUCAGGAGCGAAAGCGUGGGGAGCGAUCCGGAUUAGAUACCCGGGUAGUCCACGCUGUAAACGAUGAGUACUAGGUGUUGGGGGUAUCGACCCCCUCAGUGCCGAAGCUAACGCGAUAAGUACUCCGCCUGGGGACUACGGCCGCAAGGCU
This 524-nucleotide ribosomal RNA is filed under the name uncultured bacterium. Its description in RNAcentral is "bacterial SSU rRNA". It matches the Rfam family "Bacterial small subunit ribosomal RNA", at positions 355 to 895 of the family's 1533-position model. The record is from RNAcentral.